GAUGAACGCUGGCGGCGUGCCUAAUACAUGCAAGUCGAGCGAACAGACGAGGAGCUUGCUCCUCUGACGUUAGAGGCGGACGGGUGAGGAACACGUGGAUAACCUACCUAUAAGACUGGGAUAACUUCGGGAAACCGGAGCUAAUACCGGAUAAUAUAUUGAACCGCAUGGUUCAAUAGUGAAAGACGGUUUUGCUGUCACUUAUAGAUGGCUCCGCGCCGCAUUAGCUAGUUGGUAAGGUAACGGCUUACCAAGGCAACGAUGCGUAGCCGACCUGAGAGGGUGAUCGGCCACACUAGAACUGAGACACGGUCCAGACUCCUACGGGAGGCAGCAGUAGGGAAUCUUCCGCAAUGGGCGAAAGCCUGACGGAGCAACGCCGCGUGAGUGAUGAUGGUCUUCGGAUCGUAAAACUCUGUUAUUAGGGAAGAACAAAUGUGUAAGUAACUAUGCACGUCUUGACGGUACCUAAUCAGAAAGCCACGGCUAACUACGUG
RNAcentral lists this ribosomal RNA (497 nucleotides) under uncultured bacterium. RNAcentral's name for it is "partial 16S ribosomal RNA". It matches the Rfam family "Bacterial small subunit ribosomal RNA", at positions 28 to 507 of the family's 1533-position model. The record is from RNAcentral.